UGGGGAAUAUUGCACAAUGGGCGAAAGCCUGAUGCAGCGACGCCGCGUGCGGGAUGAAGGCCUUCGGGUUGUAAACCGCUUUUGAUUGGGAGCAAGCGAGAGUGAGUGUACCUUUCGAAUAAGCACCGGCUAACUACGUGCCAGCAGCCGCGGUAAUACGUAGGGUGCAAGCGUUAUCCGGAAUUAUUGGGCGUAAAGAGCUCGUAGGCGGCUUGUCGCGUCUGGUGUGAAAGUCCAUCGCUUAACGGUGGAUCUGCGCCGGGUACGGGCAGGCUAGAGUGCGGUAGGGGAGAUUGGAAUUCCCGGUGUAACGGUGGAAUGUGUAGAUAUCGGGAAGAACACCAAUGGCGAAGGCAGAUCUCUGGGCCGUUACUGACGCUGAGGAGCGAAAGCAUGGGGAGCGAACA
Molecule: ribosomal RNA, 407 nt
Filed under: uncultured prokaryote
Description: bacterial SSU rRNA
Rfam family: Bacterial small subunit ribosomal RNA
Source: RNAcentral